ACAUCCGUAGUUGAUCGUUGAUUGCACCAAUUCCUAAUGGAUUCACAAAAUAGUGGAUACUUCUCUACUUUAUUAAGUGGAGGAUCAAGCACCAAUGAUCUCUUACUUACUCAAGAUUAUGGUGACCCUAAUGCCGAUGGUCCUACCAUGACUAAUGUCACUAUUAAACCUUCCAACACUAGAAAGAGUCAAAGAGGAUCCAAUUUUGCAAUGGAGGAUGAUUUGAUGCUCAUCUCAACGUACCUAAAUACAAGCUUAGAUGCGGUGCAAGGAAACCAACAAAAACUAGAAGCAUAUUGGGAUAGGAUUGAGAAAUAUUUCAAUGAAUAUAAGCAAUAACAUAACAUCUUUCGCACUAAAGGUUCGCUACAACAUCGGUGGGAUAAAAUACAUAGAGAAGUGAAUAAAUUCUGCAGACAUUAUGCAAAAAUUGAAGAAAGACAACAAAGUGGCGUUACCGAGCAAGACAAGGUAAGGAUAGCUUAUAUGGUGCUAUCUUGUUUUGUUAACUGUGUUAAUUCUUAUGGAUUAUUAUUUUUGUUGUAUCAAUUGUUUGGAUUUUUGAAUAAUUCUGUGAGGUAUGGAUUUUCUAGCUUAUGAGUAGCUUAUGAAAGUAAGUGGACGUUAUGUGGUUGUACUCUAUAAACUAGAUAUUUCCCUCCAAUUGUUGUACUCUUUAAAUGAAAUAUUAAUGCUUUGUGGUUUAGGCUUUCUUUUGCUUUGACAUUUUCAGCUGUAAAUGACAUAUACGGCUUAUAUUUUUGUGCUUGUAAAGUCUCCUUAUUCCUUUGUUGUAAGAGGCAGCGUUGUAUCUAGUCUUUUGGAAUAGUGGAAACUUAUG
RNA transcript from Tripterygium wilfordii, 841 nucleotides. RefSeq lists it as uncharacterized. The transcript has 2 exons. The record is from RefSeq and is a predicted model, not a curated record. Lineage: Eukaryota; Viridiplantae; Streptophyta; Magnoliopsida; Celastrales; Celastraceae.